This is a long non-coding RNA of Rhincodon typus (whale shark), 2633 nucleotides long. RefSeq lists it as uncharacterized. NCBI's taxonomy places the organism in Eukaryota, Metazoa, Chordata, Chondrichthyes, Orectolobiformes, Rhincodontidae. The record is from RefSeq and is a predicted model, not a curated record. The transcript has 3 exons.
UAAUGCUGGGGUUCACUUCAAAACAAACCUACUCUCUGGUUUCGCAUCUAGACCUGGGAUGACAGCUUGAAUGCUGCACGUACAUCAAGCUCCUUCAUCGUGAAUGCGCCCUGAAGUAAAAACAGAAAUUGUUGGAAAAACUCAGCAGAUCCGGCAUUAUCUGUGGAGAGAGAAACAGAGUUAACGUUUCGGGUCCAGUGACUCUUCUUCAGAACACCCUGCAGUAAAUGGACAAAGUUGGAGUUUCACUUGGCUAUCUGGAGUCCAGGGUGCUCAGGAGGAGGCUCUGCAUACAGUCCCUAAAGUGGCUGGAAAGAGGUGAAAGGAGAGGGCGGCGUUUGGGGCAGGAAAAAAUUAGGUGCUUGGAGAUAAAAUGGGAUGGUGUUGAAUCCGACACGCUCUAGGGUUAACCGCUGACUAUUGCUCAGUCCCUUUAUGGCCGAGAGAACAGUCUGCAGCGAAUGUCAGUGUCAUGAGGAAUUGGGAAUGGUUACUGAGUGCAGAGUGUACACACACAGCCUCGAAUAUGAGCCCGGGGACCUAUGAUUGUCUUCAACAGGAGGGGAAUUAAAUCAAAAUAACAUCGAUCACCUUCUAAUUCUCGUUUUACAUUUCAGUAGUACCCCAGACUUCGGUGAAAGUGCCCGAUUGUGAUUGGCUGGAAUGUCUCGGCUUUAAGUUAACACAAACCAGUCAGAGACACAACGGAGUGGGCAUUCAAUAAUUUAUGGAGAAGGAAAUUGUAAACACGGAGCUAAAAAAAAGUCUACAUUUGAUCUAUUUGACAUACAGAGUGUGCCAAUCAGAGUGGGUUAGUCACACGAAGCGGGUAGGCUAUGUAUAAUAUAAAAGGUUGUAUUUAGUACAUUUCUGAUCCAACCACAGCAGAAACAGUUUUUGAGAUGGAACUUGCUGAAUAACCACUGCUGCACUACUGAAACAAAAUAGUUUAUGACAGAUACAUUAAGGAGGAAAUCGAACAAAAAACAAGACUUUGAAGAAAUUUUAUGGAGAGGUCAGAGGUGAAUUUGAGAAGGCAAAUAAAUACCUAUCAUUCCCUUUGGUGAAAUAUUUUGCUAUCUUUCCAGUCACUAACAAUUCCUGUCGAGACUGUAUGAUGUCCUUCAUUUCAGUUGGUCUGCUAUUCGAGAGUAGAAUGGUGAGAUGGGUGAAGACUCAGAAAGCUAUCUGUGCUUAUGAGGACAACAUCCUUCAGAAGAGGGGGAAAAUAAAGAAGUAAUCAGCCCAGUCAAAUAACUGAAAAAGCAGCCACCAAUUCAUGUCUGUGCUUAAACCUAUUCCCCCUAUUAGAUCACACAGUGGAUGUGGGUAUGUUGGAUUAAUUCACCACGUUUUAGCAUCCAAGCCACCAAGAAUUGAAUGGCUCUGAAAAGGGGUGCUUAUUGAUUGCCAGACUGCUUUGUGUUGCUAGAUUAGCAUUAGAAUCAGAAUUAGAAUUAGAAAUAGAAAUAGGUUAUUUUCACAUAUAUUCAAGUAUAGGGAUACAUAAGUACAGUGAAGAGUGUACAAAGUCACCAUUUCUGACAUCAUCUUAGGUACAAAAUCUUAGGUAUAAAUUAGGAAAAUGAAGAAAUAAAGUUAUAAGAUCAAUAUUAAAGUCUUUGUAAAGCUAGGUACAAAGAUACCUAGGUACAAAAUCUUAGGUAUUAAUAGUGCACUGGUAAAAUCUGACUUACAACACUAUGGGGGAGUCUUGAGCAACAGUGUGCUCCUUCUGAAGGUCUGAACCCUUGUUGCUCUGCAAUGUUGUGCAGAGUGCAGCAUACCACAUGCAGAAUACACAGGAUAGUGCAUAUUGAAGGGCAUCACCUGGUCUGUCGAGGGACUUAAAGUGAAUUUUCAGCACACUGAUGGUUUACUAAGUGAUUCUUCAUGUUGGUAUAAGUAUCUCUACUGGGUCUCAUCAGCUGGGUUUCAUAUAGCUGCCAUUGGCCAUAUUUUAAUUGGGUGACCUUUGUCUCCAAGCAGCCAGUCUGUAAGUCUGCUUUGAAGUGUGACCAAAUCAAGGAUGAUGGUCUGGGGCAGGAUGAAAGUACAAUGGCAGCUGUCUGGGAUUCCUGAUAACAUCAGCACCACAUGGGAGCUAUGCAUGUGUUCCACACAUGGAACCCCUUGCUAAAAACAAAGAUUCUUGAUAAUCUAGAGCUGCGUUUAUUGCCACAUGUGUGGAGUCAAAGUUAAUUGCUCAUUAAUUUGUAAAUUGUGUUAACUGGAUGCAGAUGGUGGGCAUUAACUUAUAAAAAAUAAUAAAAAGGAACCACAAGUCCAGGCAACAGGCUGUGGAGGGGGUCAUGUAUGCCCCUCCUCUGGGCGAUGUUUGUGGCCAGGUGUCCUCGGAAAGGGAACACAUGCUGUCCAACAGUAGCCUUAAUGCCUUUAGAGGUAGUUGGCACCACAGCGGGUAGGGUGCUUUCUUCCAACUGCAUUUUGAUUUAGCCCCUGUGAUGAUAUAUAUCUUGAAGAGAUAUUUGUCUACCCCGGGUGUCUUGAAGGGGCAUUCUGUAAACCUUGUGAUGAGGUGCUUGCUUAAUGGAAAGCAGAGUAAAUAGCUUUGGGUUUUUGUUUAAAUUAUACAAAAGAAGCAUGUGUGGGUGGAGUCAGGCUCAUGCAAA